UUCCUACGGGAGGCAGCAGUGGGGAAUAUUGCACAAUGGGCGCAAGCCUGAUGCAGCCAUGCCGCGUGUAUGAAGAAGGCCUUCGGGUUGUAAAGUACUUUCAGUCGUGAGGAAGGGGGUAUCGUUAAUAGCGGUAUUCUUUGACGUUAGCGACAGAAGAAGCACCGGCUAACUCCGUGCCAGCAGCCGCGGUAAUACGGAGGGUGCGAGCGUUAAUCGGAAUUACUGGGCGUAAAGCGCAUGCAGGUGGUUUGUUAAGUCAGAUGUGAAAGCCCGGGGCUCAACCUCGGAGUUGCAUUUGAAACUGGCAGGCUAGAGUACUGUAGAGGGGGGUAGAAUUUCAGGUGUAGCGGUGAAAUGCGUAGAGAUCUGAAGGAAUACCGGUGGCGAAGGCGGCCCCCUGGACAGAUACUGACACUCAGAUGCGAAAGCGUGGGGAGCAAACAGGAUUAGAUACCCUGGUAGUCCA
This 469-nucleotide ribosomal RNA is filed under the name uncultured Vibrio sp. RNAcentral describes it as "bacterial SSU rRNA". It matches the Rfam family "Bacterial small subunit ribosomal RNA", at positions 336 to 797 of the family's 1533-position model. The record is from RNAcentral. Lineage: Bacteria; Pseudomonadati; Pseudomonadota; Gammaproteobacteria; Vibrionales; Vibrionaceae.